AUACGGAGGGUGCAAGCGUUACUCGGAAUCACUGGGCGUAAAGCGCGCGCAGGCGGUCUUUUAAGUUGGAUGUGAAAGCCUACGGCUCAACCGUAGAACUGCAUCCAAAACUAUUAGACUAGAGUGUGGGAGAGGAAGAUGGAAUUAGUUGUGUAGGGGUAAAAUCCGUAGAGAUAACUAGGAAUACCAAAAGCGAAGGCAAUCUUCUGGAACACUACUGACGCUGAGGCACGAAAGCGUGGGGAGCGAACAGGAUUAGAAACCCUAGAGUCC
RNAcentral lists this ribosomal RNA (273 nucleotides) under uncultured bacterium. RNAcentral describes it as "partial 16S ribosomal RNA". It matches the Rfam family "Bacterial small subunit ribosomal RNA", at positions 523 to 796 of the family's 1533-position model. The record is from RNAcentral.